AGAGUUUGAUCCUGGCUCAGGAUGAACGCUAGCGGCAGGCUUAACACAUGCAAGUCGCGGGGCAGCGCGGGUAGCAAUACCUGGCGGCGACCGGCGGAAGGGUGCGUAACGCGUGAGCAACAUGCCCGUAUCAGGGGGAUAACCGAUGGAAACGUCGCCUAAUACCCCAUAACAACAGAGGCUGCAUGGUCUUUGUUUGAAAGUCACGGCGGAUACGGAUUGGCUCGCGUGACAUUAGCUGGUUGGCGGGGUAACGGCCCACCAAGGCGACGAUGUCUAGGGGUUCUGAGAGGAAGGUCCCCCACACUGGAACUGAGACACGGUCCAGACUCCUACGGGAGGCAGCAGUGAGGAAUAUUGGGCAAUGGGGGCAACCCUGACCCAGCCAUGCCGCGUGAGGGAAUGAGGCCCUACGGGUCGUGAACCUCUUUUAUCCGGGGACAAUACCCCGCACGAGAUGCGGGGUUGAGGGUACCGGAAGAAUAAGCAUCGGCUAACUCCGUGCC
RNAcentral lists this ribosomal RNA (506 nucleotides) under uncultured organism. Its description in RNAcentral is "SSU rRNA". It matches the Rfam family "Bacterial small subunit ribosomal RNA", at positions 8 to 509 of the family's 1533-position model. The record is from RNAcentral.